GCACGGUUAAAUAACAAAAAUAUAACUAGGUUAUGAUUGCUGUAUGUAUAUAGGUGACUCUAAGACCAGUGUGAUUCUGCAAUCUGUACAAUUAGAAAAAUGAGAAAUUAUACCCCAGUGAUUCAAGUGUAUGAAUUGCCAAGAUCAUUGUAAUAUCAUGAAUAGCUAAUAUAAAUAAAUAAAUUUUAAAAAUAUAGCUAGGCAUAAAUAUCUACAGAUUGCUUUGGCUAACAGUCCUAGGAUAGAGAAAAUUAUCCUGCCACACCGGCAGGGAGCCCCCCACAGCCCUGCAGCAGUGCCCAGUUCAAGGAGAGGCAAUCAAGAGGAUGAUGGCAAGAUAUUUUGAGAUAUCUUUGUUCUUUCUGUUCUGGAAUUUCACUCCCUGGCCCUACCCGCUGUCUGUAGCAGCCAAGUUCAUUGCUCCAGGGGAGGGAAGUGCCAGAGAAGAAAGGAGAAACAAAGGACUUGGCUUACAUCUCCUACAGCCCAGAACCCUCUGGGCACAGAGCUUUGCAAAAGUUAUAUUUGGGUGUGAGGUAGGAGGUCAAAAAGCCUGUGGGUUUGUCCACAGUGAGAGGAAAGAUGAAAGAAAACAAGUGUAGACACCCGGUAAGUCUGCCAUCUUGUGUGUGUGUGUGUGUGUGUGUGUAGGGGGGUAUCCUUUCUUGAUUCCACUUCCUCUUCCAGCUACUGCCUCAUUUCUUUGCUCCCUUUUAUAACUAAACUCCAAAAAAUUGCUUGGAUUCACUGUCUCCAAUUUCUCCCUCCCCGUUUGCUCUUAAGCCCCCUCAACUUCGGAUUUCUCACUUCCUAUUUUCUCCCCAACCUACUUUUGUCAGGGAUACUGUACAACCUCCUUGUGAUUAUUAAGUCCUUUGGCCAGUUUUCUGGUCUCAUCUUAC
RNAcentral lists this long non-coding RNA (902 nucleotides) under Marmota monax (woodchuck). The record is from RNAcentral. Lineage: Eukaryota; Metazoa; Chordata; Mammalia; Rodentia; Sciuridae.